This 141-nucleotide ribosomal RNA is filed under the name uncultured bacterium. RNAcentral describes it as "partial 16S ribosomal RNA". It matches the Rfam family "Bacterial small subunit ribosomal RNA", at positions 197 to 334 of the family's 1533-position model. The record is from RNAcentral.
GGGGUUAAAGAUUUCGAUUGCCAAGGGGAGGGGUCCGCGGCCGAUUAGCUAGUUGGUGGGGUAAUGGCCUUACCAAGGCGACGAUCGGUAGGCUGGUCUGAGAGGAUGAUCAGCCACGACUGGUACUUAGACACGGACCAG